RNAcentral lists this ribosomal RNA (433 nucleotides) under uncultured bacterium. RNAcentral describes it as "partial 16S ribosomal RNA". It matches the Rfam family "Bacterial small subunit ribosomal RNA", at positions 29 to 507 of the family's 1533-position model. The record is from RNAcentral.
AACGAACGCUGGCGGCAUGCCUAACACAUGCAAGUCGAACGAGACCUUCGGGUCUAGUGGCGCACGGGUGCGUAACGCGUGGGAACCUGCCCUUAGGUUCGGAAUAACUCCCCGAAAGGGGUGCUAAUACCGGAUAACGUCUUCGGACCAAAGAUUUAUCGCCUUUGGAUGGGCCCGCGUUGGAUUAGCUAGUUGGUAGGGUAAAAGCCUACCAAGGCGACGAUCCAUAGCUGGUCUGAGAGGAUGAUCAGCCACACUGGGACUGAGACACGGCCCAGACUCCUACGGGAGGCAGCAGUGGGGAAUAUUGGACAAUGGGCGAAAGCCUGAUCCAGCAAUGCUGCGUGAGUGAUGAAGGCCUUAGGGUUGUAAAGCUCUUUUACCCGGGAUGAUAAUGACAGUACCGGGAGAAUAAGCUCCGGCUAACUCCGUG